ACGCGAAGAACCUUACCGGGGCUUGACAUGGUAGAAGUAGAAUCCUGAAAGGGUGACGAUCGGUAUCCAGUCCGAAGCUAUCACAGGUGUUGCAUGGCUGUCGUCAGCUCGUGUCGUGAGACGUUGGGUUAAGUCCCCUAACGAGCGAAACCCUUGUCUUUAGUUGCUAACGGGUAAUGCUGAGCACUUUAGAGAGACUGCCGUCGUUAAGACGGAGGAAGGUGGGGACGACGUCAAGUCAUCAUGGCCCUUAUGUCCCGGGCUGCACACGUGCUACAAUGGUCGGUACAAAGGGAUGCUAAGUCGCGAGAUGGUGCGAAACCUAUAAAGCCGAUCUCAGUUCAGAUUGGAGGCUGAAACUCGCCUCCAUGAAGUUGGAAUCGCUAGUAAUCGCGGAUCAGCUACGCCGCGGUGAAUAUGUUCCCGAGCCUUGUACACACCGCCCGUCAAGCCACCCAAGCAAGAUGCACCCAAAAUCGCCUGCCUAACCCGUAAGGGAGGGAAGUCCCUAAGGUGUCGC
Molecule: ribosomal RNA, 520 nt
Filed under: anaerobic ammonium-oxidizing planctomycete GR-WP33-66
Lineage: Bacteria; Pseudomonadati; Planctomycetota; Planctomycetia; Planctomycetales
Description: bacterial SSU rRNA
Rfam family: Bacterial small subunit ribosomal RNA
Source: RNAcentral